RNAcentral lists this ribosomal RNA (3075 nucleotides) under Campylobacter jejuni. Its description in RNAcentral is "bacterial LSU rRNA". It matches the Rfam family "Bacterial large subunit ribosomal RNA". Lineage: Bacteria; Pseudomonadati; Campylobacterota; Epsilonproteobacteria; Campylobacterales; Campylobacteraceae. The record is from RNAcentral.
AAAAAAGGUAAGCUACUAAGAGCGAAUGGUGGAUGCCUUGACUGGUAAAGGCGAUGAAGGACGUACUAGACUGCGAUAAGCUACGGGGAGCUGUCAAGAAGCUUUGAUCCGUAGAUUUCCGAAUGGGGCAACCCAAUGUAUAGAGAUAUACAUUACCUAUAUAGGAGCGAACGAGGGGAAUUGAAACAUCUUAGUACCCUCAGGAAAAGAAAUCAAUAGAGAUUGCGUCAGUAGCGGCGAGCGAAAGCGCAAGAGGGCAAACCCAGUGCUUGCACUGGGGGUUGUAGGACUGCAAUGUGCAAGAGCUGAGUUUAGCAGAACAUUCUGGAAAGUAUAGCCAUAGAGGGUGAUAGUCCCGUAUGCGAAAAACAAAGCUUAGCUAGCAGUAUCCUGAGUAGGGCGGGACACGAGGAAUCCUGUCUGAAUCCGGGUCGACCACGAUCCAACCCUAAAUACUAAUACCAGAUCGAUAGUGCACAAGUACCGUGAGGGAAAGGUGAAAAGAACUGAGGUGAUCAGAGUGAAAUAGAACCUGAAACCAUUUGCUUACAAUCAUUCAGAGCACUAUGUAGCAAUACAGUGUGAUGGACUGCCUUUUGCAUAAUGAGCCUGCGAGUUGUGGUGUCUGGCAAGGUUAAGCAAACGCGAAGCCGUAGCGAAAGCGAGUCUGAAUAGGGCGCUUAGUCAGAUGCUGCAGACCCGAAACGAAGUGAUCUAUCCAUGAGCAAGUUGAAGCUAGUGUAAGAACUAGUGGAGGACUGAACCCAUAGGCGUUGAAAAGCCCCGGGAUGACUUGUGGAUAGGGGUGAAAGGCCAAUCAAACUUCGUGAUAGCUGGUUCUCUCCGAAAUAUAUUUAGGUAUAGCGUUGUGUCGUAAUAUAAGGGGGUAGAGCACUGAAUGGGCUAGGGCAUACACCAAUGUACCAAACCCUAUCAAACUCCGAAUACCUUAUAUGUAAUCACAGCAGUCAGGCGGCGAGUGAUAAAAUCCGUCGUCAAGAGGGAAACAACCCAGACUACCAGCUAAGGUCCCUAAAUCUUACUUAAGUGGAAAACGAUGUGAAGUUACUUAAACAACCAGGAGGUUGGCUUAGAAGCAGCCAUCCUUUAAAGAAAGCGUAAUAGCUCACUGGUCUAGUGAUUUUGCGCGGAAAAUAUAACGGGGCUAAAGUAAGUACCGAAGCUGUAGACUUGCACACAACUUAGAUUAUUUAAGUUUAGAAUAUAAAAAAACUAAGUUAUAUGUUUUAAGUUAUAUUUUUACUGAUUUUUAUAGAGUAAAGAUAGAAAUAAAGCUUAGUAAAAUCAGUAAAAAUAUUCUUGGUUUAAAGUUUAAGUAGUUUAAGUUGUGUGCAAGUGGUAGGAGAGCGUUCUAUUUGCGUCGAAGGUAUACCGGUAAGGAGUGCUGGAGCGAAUAGAAGUGAGCAUGCAGGCAUGAGUAGCGAUAAUUAAUGUGAGAAUCAUUAACGCCGUAAACCCAAGGUUUCCUACGCGAUGCUCGUCAUCGUAGGGUUAGUCGGGUCCUAAGUCGAGUCCGAAAGGGGUAGACGAUGGCAAAUUGGUUAAUAUUCCAAUACCAACAUUAGUGUGCGAUGGAAGGACGCUUAGGGCUAAGGGGGCUAGCGGAUGGAAGUGCUAGUCUAAGGUCGUAGGAGGUUAUACAGGCAAAUCCGUAUAACAAUACUCCGAGAACUGAAAGGCUUUUUGAAGUCUUCGGAUGGAUAGAAGAACCCCUGAUGCCGUCGAGCCAAGAAAAGUUUCUAAGUUUAGCUAAUGUUGCCCGUACCGUAAACCGACACAGGUGGGUGGGAUGAGUAUUCUAAGGCGCGUGGAAGAACUCUCUUUAAGGAACUCUGCAAAAUAGCACCGUAUCUUCGGUAUAAGGUGUGGUUAGCUUUGUAUUAGGAUUUACUCCGAAAGCAAGGAAACUUACAACAAAGAGUCCCUCCCGACUGUUUACCAAAAACACAGCACUCUGCUAACUCGUAAGAGGAUGUAUAGGGUGUGACGCCUGCCCGGUGCUCGAAGGUUAAUUGAUGGGGUUAGCAUUAGCGAAGCUCUUGAUCGAAGCCCGAGUAAACGGCGGCCGUAACUAUAACGGUCCUAAGGUAGCGAAAUUCCUUGUCGGUUAAAUACCGACCUGCAUGAAUGGCGUAACGAGAUGGGAGCUGUCUCAAAGAGGGAUCCAGUGAAAUUGUAGUGGAGGUGAAAAUUCCUCCUACCCGCGGCAAGACGGAAAGACCCCGUGGACCUUUACUACAGCUUGACACUGCUACUUGGAUAAGAAUGUGCAGGAUAGGUGGGAGGCUUUGAGUAUAUGACGCCAGUUGUAUAUGAGCCGUUGUUGAGAUACCACUCUUUCUUAUUUGGGUAGCUAACCAGCUUGAGUUAUCCUCAAGUGGGACAAUGUCUGGUGGGUAGUUUGACUGGGGCGGUCGCCUCCCAAAUAAUAACGGAGGCUUACAAAGGUUGGCUCAGAACGGUUGGAAAUCGUUCGUAGAGUAUAAAGGUAUAAGCCAGCUUAACUGCAAGACAUACAAGUCAAGCAGAGACGAAAGUCGGUCUUAGUGAUCCGGUGGUUCUGUGUGGAAGGGCCAUCGCUCAAAGGAUAAAAGGUACCCCGGGGAUAACAGGCUGAUCUCCCCCAAGAGCUCACAUCGACGGGGAGGUUUGGCACCUCGAUGUCGGCUCAUCGCAUCCUGGGGCUGGAGCAGGUCCCAAGGGUAUGGCUGUUCGCCAUUUAAAGCGGUACGCGAGCUGGGUUCAGAACGUCGUGAGACAGUUCGGUCCCUAUCUGCCGUGGGCGUAAGAAGAUUGAAGAGAUUUGACCCUAGUACGAGAGGACCGGGUUGAACAAACCACUGGUGUAGCUGUUGUUCUGCCAAGAGCAUCGCAGCGUAGCUAAGUUUGGAAAGGAUAAACGCUGAAAGCAUCUAAGCGUGAAGCCAACUCUAAGAUGAAUCUUCUCUAAGCUCUCUAGAAGACUACUAGUUUGAUAGGCUGGGUGUGUAAUGGAUGAAAGUCCUUUAGCUGACCAGUACUAAUAGAGCGUUUGGCUUAUCUUUAAUAAAGCAU